UGCGCAGGCGGCUUCGCAAGUCAGGCGUGAAAUCCCCGGGCUUAACCUGGGAAUGGCGCUUGAAACUACGGAGCUGGAGUAUGGCAGAGGGAGGUGGAAUUCCACGUGUAGCGGUGAAAUGCGUAGAGAUGUGGAGGAACACCGAUGGCGAAGGCAGCCUCCUGGGCCAAUACUGACGCUCAUGCACGAAAGCGUGGGGAGCAAACA
This 207-nucleotide ribosomal RNA is filed under the name uncultured bacterium. Its description in RNAcentral is "partial 16S ribosomal RNA". It matches the Rfam family "Bacterial small subunit ribosomal RNA", at positions 568 to 774 of the family's 1533-position model. The record is from RNAcentral.